GACGAACGCUGGCGGCGUGCCUAAUACAUGCAAGUUGAACGCUAAAGCUUUAACUGGUGCUUGCACCGACUUAAGUUUUUAGAGUAGCGGACGGGUGAGUAACACGUGGGUAACCUGCCCAUCAGAGGGGGAUAACACUUGGAAACAGGUGCUAAUACCGCAUAACAGUUUAUGCCGCAUGGCAUAAGAGUGAAAGGCGCUUUCGGGUGUCGCUGAUGGAUGGACCCGCGGUGCAUUAGCUAGUUGGUGAGGUAACGGCUCACCAAGGCCACGAUGCAUAGCCGACCUGAGAGGGUGAUCGGCCACACUGGGACUGAGACACGGCCCAGACUCCUACGGGAGGCAGCAGUAGGGAAUCUUCGGCAAUGGACGAAAGUCUGACCGAGCAACGCCGCGUGAGUGAAGAAGGUUUUCGGAUCGUAAAACUCUGUUGUUAGAGAAGAACAAGGACGUUAGUAACUGAACGUCCCCUGACGGUAUCUAACCAGAAAGCCACGGCUAACUACGUGCCAGCCGCCGCCGUAACAC
This 528-nucleotide ribosomal RNA is filed under the name uncultured bacterium. RNAcentral describes it as "bacterial SSU rRNA". It matches the Rfam family "Bacterial small subunit ribosomal RNA", at positions 28 to 526 of the family's 1533-position model. The record is from RNAcentral.